This 226-nucleotide non-coding RNA is filed under the name Lacticaseibacillus saniviri. RNAcentral describes it as "Lactobacillus saniviri T-box sequence". It matches the Rfam family "T-box leader". Rfam says of the family: Uncharged tRNA acts as the effector for transcription antitermination of genes in the T-box leader family. The record is from RNAcentral. Lineage: Bacteria; Bacillati; Bacillota; Bacilli; Lactobacillales; Lactobacillaceae.
AAAACGAUGUGACGAGAAGAGUAAUCGGCAGCGCAAAGCACAGAGAAUUGCCAGUAGGUGAGAAGGCAGUGAGCGGGCUGACGGUGAAAAUGAUCUCUGAAUGGAUUCGGCAAUCUGAGUCGAAUACGGGUGCCUCCGUUACCGGGUUACGAUGUGAUUACGCAUUUAAAGGUCUUCGUAUGGAGACGAACCUGGGUGGUACCCCGGCACUAUUGUCGGCCCUUCU